AGAGUUUGAUCCUGGCUCAGGGUGAACGCUGGCGGCGUGCUUGACACAUGCAAGUCGAACGGUAUGUGGCAACACAUAGAGUGGCGAACGGGUGAGUAACACGUGGGAACGUAUCUUUUGCAGGGGGAUAACUGACCGAAAGGACAGCUAAUACCGCAUAAGUCCGGGAGGAGAAAGGUGCAACAGCAUCGGCAGAAGAGCGGCCCGCGGUCCAUCAGCUAGUUGGUGAGGUAAGGGCUUACCAAGGCGACGACGGAUAGCCGGCGUGAGAGCGUGGCCGGCCACAAGGACACUGAGAUACGGGUCCUACUCCUACGGGAGGCAGCAGUGCGGAAUUUUAGAUAAUGGAGGGAACUCUGAUCUAGCGACGCCGCGUGCAGGAAGAAGGUCUUCGGAUUGUAAACUGCUGUGGUAAGGGAAAAAUGCUAUGUAGAGUGGAAAGCUACAUAGAGGGAUGGUACCUUACUAGAAAGCCCCGGCUAACUACGUGCCAGCAGCCGCGGUAAUACGUAGGGGGCGAGCGUUACCCGGAAUCACUGGGCGUAAAGGGAGCGUAGGUGGCCUAACAUGUCAACUGUGAAAACCCGGAGCUCAACUCCGGACUUGCAGUUGAAACUGGUAGGCUUGAGGACGGUAGAGGAAGACGGAACUGCCAGUGUAGGGGUAAAAUCCUUAGAUAUUGGCAGGAACGCCGGUGACGAAGGUGGUUUUCUGGGCCGGUUCUGACACUGAUGCUCGAAAGCCAGGGGAGCGAACGGGAUUAGAUACCCCGGUAGUCCUGGCCCUAAACGAUGUUCACUAGGUGUGGGGAGCGGAAAGCUCUCCGUACUAAAGCUAACGCGAUAAGUGAACCGCCUGGGGAGUACGCCCGCAAGGGUGAAACUCAAAUGAAUUGACGG
RNAcentral lists this ribosomal RNA (899 nucleotides) under Thermotogaceae bacterium enrichment culture clone HB1_28. RNAcentral's name for it is "bacterial SSU rRNA". It matches the Rfam family "Bacterial small subunit ribosomal RNA", at positions 8 to 916 of the family's 1533-position model. Lineage: Bacteria; Thermotogati; Thermotogota; Thermotogae; Thermotogales; Thermotogaceae. The record is from RNAcentral.